This 64-nucleotide transfer RNA is filed under the name Methanothrix soehngenii GP6. RNAcentral describes it as "tRNA-Leu (TAG) (tRNA-Leu-TAG-2-1)". Lineage: Archaea; Methanobacteriati; Methanobacteriota; Methanomicrobia; Methanotrichales; Methanotrichaceae. The record is from RNAcentral.
GCGGGGGUUGCCAAGUGGUUAAAGGCGCAGGGCUUAGGACCCUGUGGAUAAACCCUAUCCUGCA